Molecule: long non-coding RNA, 568 nt
Filed under: Mytilus galloprovincialis (Mediterranean mussel)
Lineage: Eukaryota; Metazoa; Mollusca; Bivalvia; Mytilida; Mytilidae
Source: RNAcentral
AGUGUUUUCCAGACGUUAAUGCUCACUAUCCUUGAUAUUCAUCAUUUUGGUCCGCCGGUGACACACAUAACUUUUCGCAAUGUUGUUUACGUAUUGUGACUUCCAGUGAAGUUUUAUUGGUGUACUUUUAGUUACCAUAUAAAUUUGUUUAGUACCAUGCAAAAUUUGUUUAUUAUAUAAAGGUUAUUAAAAUUGUAUAUUAUUGUGAUUUUUGUAAUUUAUUUGAGAAUUCAAAUCUUUAGUUGGACAGCAAAGGUUAAAUUGUAAAGGAACAUAAGUAAAUUUAGCGUUUUUAAAGUUUAAAAGGAAUAUUUCAUUUAAGCGGACUCUUUGGAGCCGGACUCCUGUAAUUUUGAUCAUUUGCUUUAAGUAUUUUAUUCUUUUGGUAAAUUUAGGAAAGUUCUUAAAAUUGUUUUAAAAUAUCUUUUGAGUUAAUUGUCGUAUUAUUACUUGCAAAGCUUUAUUUCUAGUUUAUCUAUUAAGGUUAGGAUUAUUAAAAUUGUUCAUUGAAGUUCAUGUUUACUGUUAAACGUUUGUCUUUUUUCUAAUAAAUAGAAUUAAAUAGGAA